CUACGGAGGGAGCGAGCGUUAAUCGGAAUUACUGGGCGUAAAGCGCGCGUAGGCGGCUUUGUAAGUCGGAUGUGAAAGCCCUGGGCUUAACCUGGGAAUGGCAUUCGAUACUGCAGAGCUAGAGUAUGGUAGAGGGAAGUGGAAUUUCCGGUGUAGCGGUGAAAUGCGUAGAUAUCGGAAGGAACACCAGUGGCGAAGGCGACUUCCUGGGCCAAUACUGACGCUGAGGUGCGAAAGCGUGGGGAGCAAACAGGAUUAGAUACCCCGGUAGUCC
RNAcentral lists this ribosomal RNA (274 nucleotides) under uncultured bacterium. Its description in RNAcentral is "partial 16S ribosomal RNA". It matches the Rfam family "Bacterial small subunit ribosomal RNA", at positions 523 to 796 of the family's 1533-position model. The record is from RNAcentral.